RNAcentral lists this long non-coding RNA (1050 nucleotides) under Corvus moneduloides (New Caledonian crow). RNAcentral describes it as "lncRNA (ENSCMUG00000020238.1)". The record is from RNAcentral. Lineage: Eukaryota; Metazoa; Chordata; Aves; Passeriformes; Corvidae.
AUGGUGGGGACCGGGUGUGGGUGGGGGGCACCCCCAGGGGCUGUCCCCGGGGUCCCCCCCUCAGGGCGCUGCUCUGCCGCAGGGACGCCCGGCUGGAGGGGACCCCCCGGCUCCAAGGGUGACACAGGGGGACGGGGACCAUCGGGAAUUCCUGGAGUGAAGGGUCCAGUGGGGCCACCAGGUCCCCCCGGCCCCCCAGGACCACCCGGCCGGGAUGGAGCCAGGGGGCUCCCCGGAGAGAAGGGGUUACCCGGGCCCCCCGGCCCCCCGGGCCCCCCUGCCCCUGUGGGGCCAGUGAUUCCCCGGCUGGCCGAGCCCAGGGACCCCCUCCUCUCCAACACCUUCACCGAAGCCACCAGGAGCAUCGUGGGUCCCAUGGGACCCCCCGGACCCGUGGGGCCGAUGGGUGAGAGCGUACCCCCUUCCUUUGUCACCCCCCAACACUUUCAGGUGUCCCCAUGUGGGGCUGAGCUGUGUCCCCUCUCCUUGCAGGUCCCCCCGGCCCCCCAGGUCCCAUUGGUCCCCCUGGCCCCCCAGGACCCGAUGUAAGUGCUGGGGUGGGGGGGCACGGGGAGGGCUGAACCCCGCUGUCCCCCCAAGGCUGAUGGCCCCAACUUUGUCCUCGCACAGGGCAGAGCAGGAGUGCCUGGAGCUGCCGGGCCCCCUGGGGAGAAGGGGGACAGGGUGAGUCCCCCCAGCCCCGCACUGUGACACGAGCCGGGGGGGUUGGCUGUGUCCCCCGGCUGCUGACAGGCUUUGUCCCCACCGCAGGGUCCCCAAGGCCACCUGGGCAGCCACUGGUGUCCUCUGCGGUGGCCGUGCCGGGCUGGGGUGACAGCGUGGGGGGGCUCGGGGGGGCCACCUCUGCUCCAGACACCCCUUUCCUGCCGUGCUGGGUGGCCCCAAGCCGCUGGCCCCAGGGUCCCUCAAUGGGGACAGGCAGCUGGGACCCCGCCGUGGGGCGUGGAUGUGGGCAGCGUCCCCAGGAUUGUGCCCCCCGCUCCAAAGCCACCCCCAGCAUGGGGCUGGGGGCCAUGGGGGUGUUUGGGG